GAGAGAAACCGGCCAACCACACUUGAGAGGCCAAGCGCUGGCGAGUGAAUGCGCGUGCGUAGUGUGUUUCCGCUGUUUUUCCGGUCUGCGAUCUCAGCCGCCCCGAGUGACAAAAGCGAGCAGGAGGCGGAAGGAAGGAGGAAGACUCCUACUAGGAUCUGGAGAAACUGAAUUUGCACUUUCCUGUGAAUGGCCCAUGGAAAAUACUACUUUUAACUUAAUAUGAUUAUGAAUCAGCUUUGGGUCCAAUCAGAUGACGGAUCUUAUCAACUGAGGAGUUUGUCCUGAUACCUCGAUUUUAGCUGAGUUUUGUGUCCAGUGUUAUAAGAUGGUUGAAGGCAAAGGCAGAGAUUACCUGUAUUGAUGAACUGGACAGUGUGCUCACUAAGUUUCGAAAUCUUCCAGAACUUUUUCUUGCAAAUGAAUGCUACAGAUGGAGAAAAUGCACCUCAAGGAAA
This is a long non-coding RNA of Mustela erminea (ermine), 458 nucleotides long. RefSeq lists it as uncharacterized. The record is from RefSeq and is a predicted model, not a curated record. The transcript is spliced from 4 exons. NCBI's taxonomy places the organism in Eukaryota, Metazoa, Chordata, Mammalia, Carnivora, Mustelidae.